This 89-nucleotide transfer RNA is filed under the name Neurospora sp. IMI 360204. RNAcentral's name for it is "tRNA-Phe". It matches the Rfam family "tRNA". Rfam says of the family: Transfer RNA (tRNA) molecules are approximately 80 nucleotides in length. Their secondary structure includes four short double-helical elements and three loops (D, anti-codon, and T loops). Lineage: Eukaryota; Fungi; Ascomycota; Sordariomycetes; Sordariales; Sordariaceae. The record is from RNAcentral.
GCGGGUUUAGCUCAGUUGGGAGAGCGUCAGACUGAAGUUCACUUCACUCAUUAAUCUGAAGGUCGUGUGUUCGAUCCACACAAACCGCA